UGGAAUUAUUGUGGAUGAUGUAGUGGAUGUAAUGACUUCAAACAGUUCAUAUAAAAAUGAAAUUAUUUGUAAUAAAGUAUGGGAGGUAGAGAUUGCAAACAAUUAAUGUCACAUUGCUCUGAAUGAUGUAGUGGAUCUAAUCUAAUGACUUCAAGCUGUCCAUACCAACAUGAAAUCAUUUAGAAUGAUGUAGGGAUAUAUAAACUUCAGGCAGUUCAUAUGAAUUAGAAUUUAUAUAGAAUAAUUAGGGAUUGAAAAAAAACUCACAGUCCAUGUCAGUGAGACAUAAUAAUAUAUGGGAUGUAAAAUCUUCAAACAGUUGAUGUCAACAUGAAAUUACUUAGAAUGAUGUAACUAUUUCUAGCAGUUAACAUGACAAUGAAAUUAUGUAAUGUACGGUAUGUAAAUGUUUUUAGCAGUCCAUAUCAACAUGAAAUUACUUAGAAUGAUGUAAUGGAUGUAACUAUUUCUAGCAGUCCAUAUCAACAUGAAAUUACUUAGAAUGAUGUAAUGGAUGUAACUAUUUCUAGCAGUUAACAUGACAAUGAAAUUAUGUAAUGUAAGGUAUAUAAAUAUUUCUAGCAGUCCAUAUCAACAUGAAAUUAUUUAGAAUGAUGUAUGGGAUGUAAUUACUUCUAGCAGUCCAUAUCAACAUGAAAUUAUUUAGAAUAAGGGAUGUAAAUACUUCUAGCAGUCCACAUUAACAUGAAAUUUUGUAGAUUAAUGUAAGGGAUGUAAAUACUUCUAGCAGUCCAUAUCAACAUGAAAUUUUGUAGAUUAAUGUAAGGGAUGUAAAUACUUCUAGCAGUCCAUAUCAACAUGAAAUUUUGUAGAUUAAUGUAAGGGAUGUAAAUACUUCUAGCAGUCCAUAUCAACAUGAAAUUGUAUAGAAUAAUUUCAGGUAUUUCUAAGAAUUGGUAUUGAACUGGUUAGUACAGUUCAUGAUAACAGAACAUUUCUGGUGGAUGGUGUUGGUAUUAAAUCUUUUAGACUUAUCCAUGAAAUGUAUGAGGUGUUUUAGUUAGUUAUAGCAUGGAAUUAGUGGUAAUCUUAACAUUAGCAUAGCAGUGGUCGAAAUGCUAACAUUAACAUAGCAAUGAUCAAAAUGUUAACAUUAGCAUAAUAUUAGUCGAAAUGUUAAUAUUAGCAUUAGAAUGGUCAAGAUGUUUAGCAUAAUAAUAAUGGCCAAAAUAUUUACAUUAACAUAAUAUUGGUCAAAAUGUUAACAUUAACAUAAUAUUGGUCGAAAUGUUAACAUUAACAUAAUAUUGGUCGAAAUGUUUACAUCAGGAUAACAAUGGUCAAAAUGUUGAUGUUUACAUAAAACUGGUCUGAAUGUUGUUAAAAUAGUUAAAAUGUCGCUGUUAUCAGGGAAUUAAGGGGGGAAAAUAUUAUUAGUUAUAUUGUGGAAUAUUAAUGUUAGCGUAGAAGUUGUAAGCAUGUUGAUGAUGUCGUGGAAGUGCUGAAGACACGAGAGGUUCAAAUGUUGACGUUAGGGCAUUGGUGACGUAGCAUGGAUUGUAAACACUUCAACAAGUGGCGUUUGCUUCACUGCAAGACAUCAUUACUUUGGAUUUACACUUUACGUCAUUAUGAAUCGAUAUAUGCACGAGUGCACGUGUCUUUAAAAAUGUUAGAACCCAUGUAAAGAAAGCUGUGUUGGUGCUGAAUAGAAACAGCAAAGUACAAUGGUAACUCAACACGAGUUACUUGAAUAAACUACUAAUAUGAAGUUAAUAUUCCUCUAAUAUUCCAACAUUCAGGGUUAAAUGAACAAAGAAAGUACGUUCAUUGUAAAAACCAUGAAAUAGCAACGUACUCUUCACACAAAAAAUGUAUUUACUUUGAUGAUGUGUACGUUUUACUAUCACUAUGGUCACAGUAUAGUGUAAGUGGUACGUUCUAAAGGGUAAACGUUUGGUAGGCUAAUAGCUUCUAACUGAAGUUCCACAACCUUAUUUUGUAGGAUUUUGAAAGAAGUCGUUAUAAACAUAACAUCGUUUAAACAAGAUUACAAUUUCUUUAAUUUAUUCCAGAGAAAUGAUUCGAUAUUUAAAUAUUUUUCUGUGUAAAUUUAAUUUAUCUUUCUUUCUUUAUGCAUCAAGCAAUGUCUGUUAAAUUAAAUUUAUACAUUCAGAGUAACGUUCCUAUGAAACGCUUUUUAUUUUAAUUUAACGUGUAAAUAUUCUAUGUAAAGGUAAGAGAAAUAUUAAUUUACAAAAUACAAAUAAUCACCGACAGAUGGCAAUAGCGGAAAAUGUACAAAUUGCUUUUAACGUUAAUUUUGAUACCUUUUUAUCAAACUGUGAAUUACUAUUAAAGAAAAUUUAAAGCUUUUAUGAUUAUUAUUUUGUCUAGUCUCAUAUAUAUUGCAAUGGUUGGGGUUUCUGGCGUCGUGUUUUUAUUGUUUCUUGCACAGAUCUUCAUGUGGUGUACAUUGAUAAACAUUACUUUGCAAAGCAGCUACACGUACGUACGUAAUGAAAAAGGCUGUGGAGUUAACACAUGUCUAAUAAAAAAGAUUGAAAGAACUUUCAACGGUUAAACUAACGAACUACAAACAGUUGCGCUUGUUGCUUAUUUAAUGGACAUUUAAACGAUUAAAUUAAAACUACCAACAAUUCCGUUUGUUGCUUAAUUAGUUAAUAUUUCAACAAUUAAACUAGCUAGAACUACAAACAGUUGCGUUUGUUGCUUAAUUAAUUAAUAUUUCAACAAUUAAACUAGCUAUAACCACAAACAGUUGCGUUUGUUGCUUAAUUAAUUAAUAUUUCAACAAUUAAACUAGCUAGAACUACAAACACUUGCGUUUGUUGCCAAGUGUUUAUGUUCUAGUUUAUAAAUAUCGAACGAAAAGCCAACGCUUUUGUAUAUUGGUACAAUAUAGUUUCCUAUCGUUAAGCCAAUGCAUUGCACUUGGCGCGUAUCAUGUUAAUAUUUUAACGCUGUUGUACUUGGUGAUAGACAAAUAUUACAACAACCAGUUAGGCUUAGUGCGUAUAUUACCUUACAAUGGAUAAGAUUUCAAUAAUUAAGUAAUAAAGACUGAUACGCCUCAUUCUCAGGGCAUGAUAUAAAAAAAAUGAACUCAUUAAGUGUAAGGAUUUCUUUAGUGUGAUAUAUUAACACACUGCCAUCUUUCCUAAUGUGUUAUUAAUAUAUAUGAGAUCCGUUUUUUAUUAUUAGAAGGGUAAAAGAAAAAUAAGUUAAGAAAGUAGAUUAAUAUUUACCUAAGCUAAAAUAUUGUUAGCAUGAUUGAUAAUUCCGUUCAAGAUAGAAGAUAGGUAAGGGACGGACAAAAAGAAAUAUAAAUUAAUGAAAAAUUGUUAACAGUGUCAGAAAAGAGAGAGAGAGAAAAAAAAAGCUAUUAGAAAGAUAACAAUUUGUGUAUGUAUAAAAAUAUUUUCAUUUGAUAGAAGUUGUUUCUCUUAGUCGUUUUGUUAAUUGAUAAAUAAAUGUAUCUUUUGUGUUAUGUAAUAAAAAUGAAGACUGA
Long non-coding RNA from Limulus polyphemus (Atlantic horseshoe crab), 3493 nucleotides. RefSeq lists it as uncharacterized. The transcript has 2 exons. The record is from RefSeq and is a predicted model, not a curated record. Lineage: Eukaryota; Metazoa; Arthropoda; Merostomata; Xiphosura; Limulidae.